AACGAACGCUGGCGGCAUGCCUAACACAUGCAAGUCGAACGAGAUCUUCGGAUCUAGUGGCGCACGGGGGCGGAACGCGUGGGAAUCUGCCCCUUGCUUCGGAAUAACAGUGAGAAAUUACUGCUAAUACCGGAUGAUGUCUUCGGACCAAAGAUUUAUCGGCAAGGGAUGAGCCCGCGUAGGAUUAGGUGGUUGGUGGGGAAUGGGCUAACAAGGCGACGAUCCGUAGGCGGGUUGAGAGGAUGAUCAGCCACACUGGGACUGAGACACGGCCCAGACUCCUACGGGAGGCAGCAGUGGGGAAUAUUGGACAAUGGGGUAAAGCCUGAUCCAGCAAUGCCGCGUGAGUGAUGAAGGUCUUAGGGUUGUAAAGCUCUUUUACCAGGGAUGAUAAUGACAGUACCUGGAGAAUAAGCACCGGCUAACUCCGUG
Molecule: ribosomal RNA, 432 nt
Filed under: uncultured bacterium
Lineage: Bacteria
Description: partial 16S ribosomal RNA
Rfam family: Bacterial small subunit ribosomal RNA
Source: RNAcentral